RNAcentral lists this ribosomal RNA (26 nucleotides) under Xalocoa ocellata. Its description in RNAcentral is "partial 18S small subunit ribosomal RNA". The record is from RNAcentral. Lineage: Eukaryota; Fungi; Ascomycota; Lecanoromycetes; Ostropales; Graphidaceae.
UCGUAACAAGGUGAAGAAGAAUGUGA